GGGGGCAAGCGUUGUCCGGAAUCAUUGGGCGUAAAGAGCGUGUAGGCGGUCCGGUAAGUCGGUUGUGAAAGUCGGGGGCUCAACCCUCGGAGGCCGACCGAUACUGUCGGGCUAGAGUCCGGAAGAGGCGAGUGGAAUUCCUGGUGUAGCGGUGAAAUGCGCAGAUAUCAGGAGGAACACCAAUGGCGAAGGCAGCUCGCUGGGACGGUACUGACGCUGAGACGCGAAAGCCAGGGGAGCGAACGGG
RNAcentral lists this ribosomal RNA (247 nucleotides) under uncultured bacterium. RNAcentral describes it as "partial 16S ribosomal RNA". It matches the Rfam family "Bacterial small subunit ribosomal RNA", at positions 530 to 776 of the family's 1533-position model. The record is from RNAcentral.